This is a non-coding RNA of Paramuricea clavata, 403 nucleotides long. NCBI's taxonomy places the organism in Eukaryota, Metazoa, Cnidaria, Anthozoa, Malacalcyonacea, Plexauridae. The record is from the annotation of a GenBank genome assembly.
GUUCGGGAGAAUAUGGUUCAACUCACCACAGAACAACGAGUUUUUAUUGUUUUAGCGCUGCGUAUUACAUAAAUCUCUGUUACAAACUUUCUUUUGAACAGUUUCUUUAUGCAUAAAAUUUACUGAUGUCAAGCUUUUAAUAUGCACUUGUGGGUUCAGCAGAGUGCUGAGGCAUUCAAAUUCUAACACUACACCUCGUUAUUUCAAUAGUUAUGGGGUUGUUUGGGACACCCUGUAAUUAGGGCAAGGAAAGGAAACCUAUAGAUAUCAUGUAUAUAUUGAACUUCGGAAAUGAAGUGUAGCUUUGUUACAUAUAGUGGUAAAGGCGGUAUUACAUCAUAGUCAAGUAAUGCAAAUUUUAUAUCUUGCUAUGAUUUAAAUAAAUGUUUUUGAUAAGUUCGUG